GUGCUCACUUCUGCAUCACAUAUGCUAAAAUUGGAACAAUACACAGAAGAUCAGCGUGGUCCCUGCACAAAGAUGACACACAAAUUCGUGAAGUGUUCCAUAUUUAU
Manis pentadactyla (Chinese pangolin) is the source of this 107-nucleotide small nuclear RNA. The record is from RefSeq and is a predicted model, not a curated record. Lineage: Eukaryota; Metazoa; Chordata; Mammalia; Pholidota; Manidae.